Molecule: ribosomal RNA, 253 nt
Filed under: uncultured bacterium
Lineage: Bacteria
Description: partial 16S ribosomal RNA
Rfam family: Bacterial small subunit ribosomal RNA
Source: RNAcentral
UACGAAGGGGGCUAGCGUUGCUCGGAAUCACUGGGCGUAAAGCGCACGUAGGCGGAUCUUUAAGUCAGGGGUGAAAUCCCAAGGCUCAACCUUGGAACUGCCUUUGAUACUGGGGAUCUCGAGUCCGGAAGAGGUGAGUGGAACUGCGAGUGUAGAGGUGAAAUUCGUAGAUAUUCGCAAGAACACCAGUGACGAAGGCGGCUCACUGGUCCGGUACUGACGCUGAGGUGCGAAAGCGUGGGGAGCAAACAGG